GGAGGGUGCAAACGUUGUCCGGAAUUACUGGGCGUAAAGGGCGCGUAGGCGGACUUGUAAGUCAGGAGUGAAAACUCAGGGGCUCAACCCCUGAGCCUGCUUCUGAAACUGCAAGUCUUGAGGACCCGGAGAGGAAAGUGGAAUUCCUAGUGUAGCGGUGGAAUGCGUAGAUAUUAGGAAGAACACCAGUGGCGAAGGCGACUUUCUGGACGGUACCUGACGCUGAGGCGCGAAAGCUAGGGGAGCAAACAGGAUUAGAUACCCUGGUAGUCCUAGCUGUAAACGAUGAGUGCUAGGUGGUGGUAGUUUCAACGCUUUCACUGCCGAAGCUAACGCAUUAAGCACUCCGCCUGGGGAGUACGGCCGCAAGGUUG
RNAcentral lists this ribosomal RNA (374 nucleotides) under uncultured organism. RNAcentral's name for it is "partial 16S ribosomal RNA". It matches the Rfam family "Bacterial small subunit ribosomal RNA", at positions 527 to 896 of the family's 1533-position model. The record is from RNAcentral.